AACGAAACGUGGCAUGCCCUUUUCUCUCGGUAAUUUUCAAUAAAAUAAGCAUAUUAGCAGACAAGCAGACAGAGAGAGCAAGACGGUGAUAAUUUGAUUCUUCAAGUCUUUGAUUGAAGGUGAAAGAGAAGAAGAUGGCAGAUGAUUCAGAGUCAUUCUUUAGGAAGCACUGGGAAGGUUACAAGGAGUUUUGGGGUGAGAGAUUUUCCUUUCUAGAGAAUUAUUCAAGGUUCAUCAAG
RNAcentral lists this unclassified non-coding RNA (239 nucleotides) under Hevea brasiliensis (rubber tree). The record is from RNAcentral. Lineage: Eukaryota; Viridiplantae; Streptophyta; Magnoliopsida; Malpighiales; Euphorbiaceae.